UAAGCACCAAUUUGUAAGUCGCUCUGGAUAAGAGCGUCUGCUAAAUGACGUAAA
This is a non-coding RNA of Salmo salar (Atlantic salmon), 54 nucleotides long. The record is from Rfam. NCBI's taxonomy places the organism in Eukaryota, Metazoa, Chordata, Actinopteri, Salmoniformes, Salmonidae.